Molecule: ribosomal RNA, 97 nt
Filed under: Caloramator sp. CAR-1
Lineage: Bacteria; Bacillati; Bacillota; Clostridia; Eubacteriales; Clostridiaceae
Description: partial 16S ribosomal RNA
Rfam family: Bacterial small subunit ribosomal RNA
Source: RNAcentral
AAACAUAAGAGUUUGAUCCUGGCUCAGGACGAACGCUGGCGGCGUGCCUAACACAUGCAAGUCGAGCGGAGAUGCCAAGGAGCAAUCCAAGGUGUCU